GAUGAACGCUAGCGGGAGGCUUAACACAUGCAACGUCGAGGGGUAAGGUCAAGCUUGCUUGACACACGACCGGCGCACGGGUGAGUAACGCGUAUGCAACCUACCUUUUACAGGAGGAUAGCCCUAAGAAAUUGGGAUUAAUACUCCAUAGUUUUGAGAUUUCGCAUGAGAUUUCAAAUAAAGUUCCGGCGGUAAAAGAUGGGCAUGCGUACCAUUAGCUAGUUGGUGAGGUAACGGCUCACCAAGGCGACGAUGGUUAUGGGGUCUAAAAGGAUGGUCCCACACACUGGUACUGAGACACGGACCAGACUCCUACGGGAGGCAGCAGUGAGGAAUAUUGGUCAAUGGGCGGAAGCCUGAACCAGCCAUCCCGCGUGCAGGAAUACAGCCCUAGAGGUUUUAAACUGCUUUUAUAUACGAAGAAUAAGCUAUACGUGUAUAGUGAUGCCGGUAGUAUAUGAAUAAGCACCGGCUAACUCCGUGCCAGCAGCCGCGGUAAUACGGAGGGUGCAAGCGUUAUCCGGAUUUAUUAGGUUUAAAGGGUGCGUAGGCUGAUGCUUAAGUCAGUGGUAAAAUCCAUUAGCUCAACUAAUGUAAGCCAUUGAAACUGGGUAUCUUGAGUUCGGUUGAGGUAGGCGGAAUGUGUUGUGUAGCGGUGAAAUGCAUAGAUAUAACACAGAACACCGAUUGCGAAGGCAGCUUACUAAGCCGUUACUGACGCUGAUGCACGAAAGCGUGGGUAUCAAACAGG
RNAcentral lists this ribosomal RNA (751 nucleotides) under uncultured bacterium. RNAcentral's name for it is "bacterial SSU rRNA". It matches the Rfam family "Bacterial small subunit ribosomal RNA", at positions 28 to 776 of the family's 1533-position model. The record is from RNAcentral.